GUGGGAGCGAGCCUGCUCGCGAAUGCGGUGUGUCAGUCAAUUCAAAUGGUUCUGACAGACCGCAUUCGCGAGCAGGCUCGCUCCCAC
This 87-nucleotide non-coding RNA is filed under the name Pseudomonas baetica. Lineage: Bacteria; Pseudomonadati; Pseudomonadota; Gammaproteobacteria; Pseudomonadales; Pseudomonadaceae. The record is from RNAcentral.